GUAGCCUCUCCUUUCAGCCACUAAGCAAAUACAACCCAUUCCACGUGUGCUUCUAAGAUAAAGACAACUCGCUCUCAGCACUUAUUUUUCACACAAGUCAAUGAUGUUGGAGCCUCUGAGAGGCAGCCAGGACCCACCCCAGCCCCGACAGUCCACCUGCCCGUCAGCACCAGCCCCCCGUCCUGGGACCAGCCCUGAGCUGUGCAGCUUCUCAAGGCCACCGGGCCUGAGCUCCAGACCCACAAAACUUUGGUCCAUUCAGAAAUUCAUAGGAAGAAGAUAAAAUGACGGCAGCUGACGCUAUAAUGACUCCCCUUCUGUCCGUGGCCAUCAGUCCUUCAGCUGAAGUGACCAUCACCAUCCUGCUGCCAGAAGUAGUUUCUGACUCCAACACCGAAGCAAAUUCUCAAGGGCCAGCCCAAACUCUCCUGCAAUAACGAAAAUAUACCCACUCCAUUUACUUUACAUAGAUUACCCAGGAGCUCACUUCCUCACCUUUUUACAGCGUAGCCACAGAUGGAAGUUAUCACGAUAAGAAAGAAAAUUUCCCUUUGCUUGCUCAAUAUUUCUCCCCUGAAAAAGCCUUGCUUGUAAGGCAGUUGUGAGUAAAAGCUCUUUCAGCAGAGCCUUGAGCAACAAAGGUAAAUUUUUGCAGACCUUCCCUUAUUGGUUAGGAGUUAAUAAAAAAAAAAAAAUUGGGCUGCUCUCAGUGGAGAUGAUGCAAAUACAUAUUUGGGGGAUGUAUGCAUUAAGAGGCAAUGUUUAUUCAAAGCUGAAGCGAGGCGUGAAUGAUCCCAGGGACGAUGCUGGUUGUCCUUCCCAUGCGCUGAUAACGCAGCUCAGACAGGAUCUGGUGUUUUGGCAUCACAGCCAUUGGCAUGAAACGGUUCUCUAACUUCAGCAUUUAUACUGGUCAAACGGAGCGAUCAAAGGACUUUGGUGAUUUUGCGACUGUCCAGUCGAGUUAGAUUCUCUCACAUUGGAAACAGGUUGGUUCUGGAGUUCCCAUCUUGGCACAGCGGAAACGAAUCCAACUAGUAUG
Long non-coding RNA from Phacochoerus africanus (Common warthog), 1042 nucleotides. RefSeq lists it as uncharacterized. The record is from RefSeq and is a predicted model, not a curated record. Lineage: Eukaryota; Metazoa; Chordata; Mammalia; Artiodactyla; Suidae. The transcript is spliced from 3 exons.